GGGGGGGGGGGGGGGGGGGGGUGGGGGGGGGGGGGCGGGCGGGGGGGCGGCGGGGGGGGUGCUCGGGGGGCGCGCGGGUGCGGAGCACGGGGGUAACCGGCCCUUGGCUUCGGGAUAGCGUCAGGCACCUGGGGCUACUGCCGGAUCGGGAUCCCUGCUGCAUGGGGGGGGUUUGAAAUCUUCGGCGGUGUUGGCUUGACUCGCGGCUUAUCCGCUUGUUGGUGGGGUAGUGGCUUCCCAAGGCUUUGACGGGGAGCCGGCCUGAGAGGGCGACCGGCCACAUUGGGACUGAGAUACGGCCAAGACUCCUACGGGAGGCAGCAGUGGGGAAUAGUGCACAAGGGGCGGAAGCCUGAUGCAGCAACGCCGCGUGCGGGAUGACGGCCUUCGGGUUGGAAACCGCUUUCAGCAGGGGCGAAGCUUGUGGUGACGGUACCUGCAGAAGAAGCACCGGCUAACUACGUG
RNAcentral lists this ribosomal RNA (465 nucleotides) under uncultured bacterium. RNAcentral describes it as "partial 16S ribosomal RNA". It matches the Rfam family "Bacterial small subunit ribosomal RNA", at positions 39 to 507 of the family's 1533-position model. The record is from RNAcentral.